GAAGAACUCCGAUUGCGAAGCCAGGCACAGUCUUACUGAACGCUUAAGCUCGAAGGUGCGGGUAUCGACAAGAAUUAGAUACCCUGGUAGUCGCACGGUAACGAUGGAUGCCCGCUGUUGCGAUAUACUGUGAGCGGCCAAGAGAAAUCGUUAAGCAUCCCACCUGGGGAGUACGCCGGCAACGGUGAAACUCAAAGGAAUUGACGGGGGCCCGCACAAGCGGAGGAACAUGUGGUUUAAUUCGAUGAUACGCGAGGAACCUUACCCGGGCUUGAACUGCCAGCGAACGAUUCAGAGAUGAUGAGGCCCUUCGGGGCGCUGGUGGAGGUGCUGCAUGGUUGUCGUCAGCUCGUGCCGUGAGGUGUCGGCUUAAGUGCCAUAACGAGCGCAACCCUUUUCUUUAGUUGCCAUCAGGUGAUGCUGGGCACUCUGGAGAUACUGCCACCGUAAGGUGUGAGGAAGGUGGGGAUGACGUCAAAUCAGCACGGCCCUUACGUCCGGGGCUACACACGUGUUACAAUGGGGGGUACAGAGAGUCGGAUAUACGCAAGUAUGUUCUAAUCCUUAAAGCCUUCCUCAGUUCGGAUUGGGGUCUGCAACCCGACCCCAUGAAGCUGGAUUCGCUAGUAAUCGCGCAUCAGCCAUGGCGCGGUGAAUACGUUCCCGGGCCUUGUACACACCGCCCGUCAAGCCAUGAAAGCCGGGGGCGCUUGAAGUCCGUGACCGCAAGGAUCGGCCUAGAGCGAAACUGGUAAUUGGGGCUAAGUCGUAACAAGGUAGCCGUA
RNAcentral lists this ribosomal RNA (785 nucleotides) under uncultured bacterium. RNAcentral's name for it is "bacterial SSU rRNA". It matches the Rfam family "Bacterial small subunit ribosomal RNA", at positions 701 to 1504 of the family's 1533-position model. The record is from RNAcentral.